This 75-nucleotide transfer RNA is filed under the name Schistocerca americana (American grasshopper). Its description in RNAcentral is "tRNA-Thr". It matches the Rfam family "tRNA". Rfam says of the family: Transfer RNA (tRNA) molecules are approximately 80 nucleotides in length. Their secondary structure includes four short double-helical elements and three loops (D, anti-codon, and T loops). Further hydrogen bonds mediate the characteristic L-shaped molecular structure. tRNAs have two regions of fundamental functional importance: the anti-codon, which is responsible for specific mRNA codon recognition, and the 3' end, to which the tRNAs corresponding amino acid is attached (by aminoacyl-tRNA synthetases). tRNAs cope with the degeneracy of the genetic code in two manners: having more than one tRNA (with a specific anti-codon) for a particular amino acid; and 'wobble' base-pairing, i.e. permitting non-standard base-pairing at the 3rd anti-codon position. Lineage: Eukaryota; Metazoa; Arthropoda; Insecta; Orthoptera; Acrididae. The record is from RNAcentral.
GUCCUUGGUGGCUCAGAUGGAUAGAGCAUCUGCCAUGUAAGCAGGAGAUCCCAGGUUCGAGUCCUGGUCGGGACA